Long non-coding RNA from Physeter macrocephalus (sperm whale), 319 nucleotides. RefSeq lists it as uncharacterized. The transcript is spliced from 3 exons. The record is from RefSeq and is a predicted model, not a curated record. Lineage: Eukaryota; Metazoa; Chordata; Mammalia; Artiodactyla; Physeteridae.
CACGACGAGGCGCCGGCAGCGGCUCAGGUUCACCAGGAGGUCGGCCGACGGCUCUGAAGGAACCCGGGCAUCGGCGGGGUCGCUGCGGCUUCAGGAUGAAGUUCACGAACUUCCGGUCCUCGGGGCUGUCGCUGUAGGAGACGUAGGCGUCGUAGAGCUUCCCGUCUGCGGACGGCGGCGGAGCAGCACAUUGAGUCGACACUUCACGUAUAGCAGCGCUGCCAGGAGCAGGGCCAGCAGGACCAGGAGUGAGGCCAGCACCGCGGCCACAUGUCCAGCCAGGCCUGGGGACAGAGCCACUGACUGAGCCACCCCCCGC